GGUAAGAUGGCUGAGUAAGCAUUAGACUGUAAAUCUAAAGACAGGGAAAGUACCCUUCUUACCA
Non-coding RNA from Nannospalax galili (Upper Galilee mountains blind mole rat), 64 nucleotides. Lineage: Eukaryota; Metazoa; Chordata; Mammalia; Rodentia; Spalacidae. The record is from the annotation of a RefSeq genome assembly.